ACUAACACAGCCAGGGAGGACUGGGGAAGGAUUCCAGCUGCCUGAGCUAAGCCAGGAAGGGAAAAUUGGAGUUAGCAAGGCAAGGAAGGUCAUUCCAGGCAGUGGAAACAGAAUGAGCAAAGGCAAGAGAAAAGGCUAUUUGCUUUUGAGCUACUCCGGGAGAGGAGCAGAGUCGGUUUGAGUUGCAUGACUGACAUCUUCUGGCUACAGUGGAUAUUACAGAAAGACUGAAACUCCGCAAAAGUGUGUUUGAAAAAAAGAAAAGCACCCUGGAAUUUGGAUCAUUAAGAGUUGCAGAGCAAGACAAAGCAAGUAGAGUCGGUAUCUGGAGACCUUUUUGCAAAGAAGAGACAAGCUCUCUCUAGGCUAUAUCACUAGUCUCAACUUCCUGGGCUCCAGCCAUCCUCCCACCUCGGCCUCCCAAAGCAUCAGGAUUACAGGCGUGAGCCAUUGCUCCCAGCUUAUUUUUUUAUUGUUGUGUUUGGGGGACUUUGAAUAUACAAUAAACUAAUCAGAGUUAUUGCAAA
This 527-nucleotide long non-coding RNA is filed under the name Homo sapiens (human). RNAcentral describes it as "novel transcript". Lineage: Eukaryota; Metazoa; Chordata; Mammalia; Primates; Hominidae. The record is from RNAcentral.